This 560-nucleotide ribosomal RNA is filed under the name Roseicyclus sp. RNAcentral's name for it is "bacterial SSU rRNA". It matches the Rfam family "Bacterial small subunit ribosomal RNA", at positions 34 to 640 of the family's 1533-position model. The record is from RNAcentral. Lineage: Bacteria; Pseudomonadati; Pseudomonadota; Alphaproteobacteria; Rhodobacterales; Roseobacteraceae.
GGGAGGCGGCAGGACCUACACAUGCAAGUCGAGCGAGAUCUUCGGAUCUAGCGGCGGACGGGUGAGUAACGCGUGGGAACGUGCCCUUCUCUACGGAAUAGUCCCGGGAAACUGGGUUUAAUACCGUAUACGCCCUUCGGGGGAAAGAUUUAUCGGAGAAGGAUCGGCCCGCGUUGGAUUAGGUAGUUGGUGGGGUAAUGGCCUACCAAGCCGACGAUCCAUAGCUGGUUUGAGAGGAUGAUCAGCCACACUGGGACUGAGACACGGCCCAGACUCCUACGGGAGGCAGCAGUGGGGAAUCUUAGACAAUGGGCGCAAGCCUGAUCUAGCCAUGCCGCGUGAGUGACGAAGGCCCUAGGGUCGUAAAGCUCUUUCACCAGGGAUGAUAAUGACAGUACCUGGAGAAGAAACCCCGGCUAACUCCGUGCCAGCAGCCGCGGUAAUACGGAGGGGGUUAGCGUUGUUCGGAAUUACUGGGCGUAAAGCGCGCGUAGGCGGGCUGUUAAGUCGGGGGUGAAAUCCCGGGGCUCAACCCCGGAACUGCCCUCGAUACUGGCAGC